RNAcentral lists this microRNA (24 nucleotides) under Haemonchus contortus (barber pole worm). RNAcentral's name for it is "hco-miR-5899". RNAcentral also lists the same sequence under 1 other name. Lineage: Eukaryota; Metazoa; Nematoda; Chromadorea; Rhabditida; Trichostrongylidae. The record is from miRBase by way of RNAcentral.
UACCCGUAAUGUACAUAGCUUGAG